GUGCUCGCUUCGGCAGCACAUAUACUAAAAUUGGAAUGAUACAGAGAAGAUUAGCAUAGCCCCUGCGCAAGGAUGACACACAAAUUCGUGAAGCGUUCCAUACUUUU
RNAcentral lists this small nuclear RNA (107 nucleotides) under Mus spretus (western wild mouse). Lineage: Eukaryota; Metazoa; Chordata; Mammalia; Rodentia; Muridae. The record is from RNAcentral.